CAAAUAAACACAGGGGGAAUGCUGGUUAAUUCAUGGCCAAGGAACCAGGAACGUUCUUGGUUGCCCGCGCGUGGCUUUUUCUUUGAGUUCCUUUCUUGGCGUUAAAUUGACCAUGAAGGCCCAGUCUACUCGUUUUCUUUAUAAGUUUUAUUAGGGUUUAUGUUGUGCUCAAAUAGGCAAGACAAUGACGGCUCUUUAAACAUGGAAUAAGA
Molecule: long non-coding RNA, 212 nt
Filed under: Hordeum vulgare
Lineage: Eukaryota; Viridiplantae; Streptophyta; Magnoliopsida; Poales; Poaceae
Description: long non-coding RNA (HVUL_LNC001677)
Source: RNAcentral